GUGGGGAAUUUUGGACAAUGGGCGCAAGCCUGAUCCAGCAAUGCCGCGUGCAGGAAGAAGGCCCUCAGGGUUGUAAACGGCUUUUGACGGUGAAGAACCGACAGGAUGCGUCCUGUUUUGACGGUAGCCGUUGAAUAAGCACCGGCUAACUCCGUGCCAGCAGCCGCGGUAAUACGUAGGGUGCGAGCGUUAAUCGGAAUUACUGGGCGUAAAGCGUGCGCAGGCGGUUAUGUAAGACAGAUGUGAAAUCCCCGGGCUCAACCUGGGAACUGCAUUUGUGACUGCAUAGCUAGAGUACGGUAGAGGGGGAUGGAAUUCCGCGUGUAGCAGUGAAAUGCGUAGAUAUGCGGAGGAACACCGAUGGCGAAGGCAAUCCCCUGGACCUGUACUGACGCUCAUGCACGAAAGCGUGGGGAGCAAACAGGAUUAGAUACCCUAGUAGUCC
RNAcentral lists this ribosomal RNA (445 nucleotides) under uncultured bacterium. RNAcentral's name for it is "partial 16S ribosomal RNA". It matches the Rfam family "Bacterial small subunit ribosomal RNA", at positions 354 to 796 of the family's 1533-position model. The record is from RNAcentral.